This 251-nucleotide ribosomal RNA is filed under the name uncultured bacterium. RNAcentral's name for it is "partial 16S ribosomal RNA". It matches the Rfam family "Bacterial small subunit ribosomal RNA", at positions 525 to 775 of the family's 1533-position model. The record is from RNAcentral.
ACGUAGGUCACAAGCGUUGUCCGGAAUUACUGGGUGUAAAGGGAGCGCAGGCGGGAAGACAAGUUGGAAGUGAAAUCCAUGGGCUUAACCCAUGAACUGCUUUCAAAACUGUUUUUCUUGAGUAGUGCAGAGGUAGGCGGAAUUCCCGGUGUAGCGGUGGAAUGCGUAGAUAUCGGGAGGAACACCAGUGGCGAAGGCGGCCUACUGGGCACCAACUGACGCUGAGGCUCGAAAGUGUGGGUAGCAAACAG